Molecule: long non-coding RNA, 1083 nt
Filed under: Salvator merianae (Argentine black and white tegu)
Lineage: Eukaryota; Metazoa; Chordata; Lepidosauria; Squamata; Teiidae
Description: lncRNA (ENSSMRG00000004559.1)
Source: RNAcentral
GUCCAAAGCGUUCACAUAUCUGCCGUUUCUCAAAAGCUGUCUUGUGUGGUAACUUCAGGAGCUCUGAAUGUCAGUUUCUCAGAUCUCCCAAGUGACUUGUCAAUGAGCAGGGCUGACAAGACAGGGCUUGUUCAAUAUUUAAGCCUUUGCAGAGGAGCUGACUAAGAACAGAGGGUGACAAGAAUGUACCCAGCAGCCAGCAUUUUAAAAGACAACAAAAUGGUUCACCAUGGUGAAAAGUCAACAGGUCCAGGAGAGUGCCAUCUUCCUAGAAAUCGAUUUUGGCGACUAAAGACACGCAGACGGUCCAACAGUGUCAGCUUGUGCAUCUUGCCAAGUAUUCCUGAAUAUCCAGGCUUCCAGGACGUCAAGAAGAACUAUCCCAGAUGUUCCAGCGCUAACUUUGUGCUGCAGGAUGCCGGAAGAACAGCAACCUGCUUUUCUAAAGCGCAGUACAAUGACAAAAGUAGUUUUUGUGACAAAACGUUGCAAGAGUAUUUUAAUGAGAGAUUCAUGGAGCUUAGGAACUAUGAUACGAGGAAGGCCAACAGGAAGAUGAAAGCUUAUCUUGACGAGAACCAGAAGUCCAGCUUCACCAGUCGGGGAUUAAGGCGAAGAAGCAGCUGCAGUGCCGUAAUGCAGGCCAAGCUGAUAGAAGACUCUUCUGGUUCAGUAGAUCAAGCGGAUGAAAGUGUGAUGACGUGCGGCCAAGACCACAGUAGUGCUCAGAGCGUCCAGGGCGCUUAUAAGAGGAACUAUUUGGAAAGCCUGACUAUGAGCAUCAACCGUCCACUAGAAAUGCUUGUGCAGAGAAACUGACUUUGGAGCUUUCAGUAGGCACCACAUUAAUUAGGUUCCUGAAAAGGAACNGUUAGUAUGCAGCAACUUGGUUAAAAAAUAUGGAACUUUUAAAAUAGCAAUGCCACAUUUGGAGCAGAUAACACGCUUGGACUUUGCAGGAUUACGGCCCACCACAUUCUAGUGCUGUUUAUAUGCCAACAAUUUUAUUUAUUUAUUUGUACACUUGAAAGUCUCAGGGUGGGUCACAAUAAAAUCAGUAUAAAAACAGAUAAAAUAAGUUAG